RNAcentral lists this transfer RNA (72 nucleotides) under Bos taurus (domestic cattle). It matches the Rfam family "tRNA". From Rfam's summary of the family: Transfer RNA (tRNA) molecules are approximately 80 nucleotides in length. RNAcentral also lists the same sequence under 1 other name. Lineage: Eukaryota; Metazoa; Chordata; Mammalia; Artiodactyla; Bovidae. The record is from Rfam by way of RNAcentral.
UCCCUGGUGGUCCAGUGGCUAAGACUCUGCACUCCCAACGCAGCGGGGUAGGUUUGAUCCCUGGUCAGGGAA